RNAcentral lists this unclassified non-coding RNA (329 nucleotides) under soil metagenome. RNAcentral's name for it is "partial contains 5.8S ribosomal RNA, internal transcribed spacer 2, and large subunit ribosomal RNA". The stretch from base 1 to 120 matches the Rfam family "5.8S ribosomal RNA", at positions 35 to 154 of the family's 154-position model. The record is from RNAcentral.
GAUGAAGAACGUAGCGAAAUGCGAUAAGUAAUGUGAAUUGCAGAUUUCAGUGAAUCAUCGAAUCUUUGAACGCACAUUGCGCCCCCUGGUAUUCCGGGGGGCAUGCCUGUUCGAGCGUCAUUACAACCCUCAAGCUCUGCUUGGUAUUGGGCCCCGCCAGUUCUGGCGGGCCCUAAAGUCAGUGGCGGUGCCUUCCGGCUCCGAGCGUAGUAAUUCUUCUCGCUCUGGAGACCCGGUUGUGUGCUUGCCAACAACCCCCAAUUUUUUAAGGUUGACCUCGGAUCAGGUAGGGAUACCCGCUGAACUUAAGCAUAUCAAUAAGCGGAGGA